ACCAGCUUACUGAAUCCAAUCAAACUUCGAAUGCCAGUGACUCAUAUCCCGGGAGUCAGACAGUGGGGGCUAAGCUUCAUUGUCGAGAGGGAAACAGCCCAGACUACCGGCUAAGGUCCCCAAAUCUGUGCUAAGUGGGAAACGUUGUAGGAAGGCCCAAACAGCUAGGAGGUUGGCUUAGAAGCAGCCAUCCUUUAAAGAAAGCGUAACAGCUCACUAGUCGAGUCGGCCUGCGCGGAAGAUGUAACGGGGCUAAAUAAUACACCGAAGCUGCGGGUGCACAACGGCUUGUCCGUUUGUGCACGGUAGGGGAGCGUUCUGUAUGCCACUGAAGGUAAAUCGAGAGGUUUAUUGGAGGUAUCAGAAGUGAGAAUGCUGACAUAAGUAACGAUAAGAGAGGUGAAAAACCUCUCCGCCGAAAACCCAAGGUUUCCUGUCCAACGUUAAUCGGGACAGGGUGAGUCGACCCCUAAGGCGAGGGCGAAAGCCGUAGUCGAUGGGAAAUAGGUUAAUAUUCCUAUACUUCUUGUUACUGCGAUGGAGUGACGGAGAAGGCUAGGCCAGCACAGCGACGGUUGUUCUGUGUUUAAGGUUGUAGGUUGGAGAUUUAGGUAAAUCCGGAUCUUUAAGACCGAGAACUGAUGACGAUUAUCUCUUCGGAGAUAAGAAGUGGUUGAUGCCAUGCUUCCAGGAAAAACUUCUAAGCUAUAGGUAGCAAGGAAUCGUACCGCAAACCGACACAGGUGGGUAGGUAGAGAAUACUAAGGCGCUUGAGAGAACUCUGGUGAAGGAACUAGGCAAAAUGGUACCGUAACUUCGGGAGAAGGUACGCCCUCAUUACGUGAAGAGACUUGCUCUCUGAGCGGAAGAGGGUCGAAGAUACCAGUUAGCUGCGACUGUUUACUAAAAACAUAGCACUCUGCAAACAUGAAAGUGGACGUAUAGGGUGUGACGCCUGCCCGGUGCCGGAAGGUUAAUUGAUCGGGUUAGCCCUUUUGGGCGAAGCUCGUGAUCGAAGCCCCGGUGAACGGCGGCCGUAACUAUAACGGUCCUAAGGUAGCGAAAUUCCUUGUCGGGUAAGUUCCGACCUGCACGAAUGGCGUAACGAUGGCCACACUGUCUCCACCA
This 1128-nucleotide ribosomal RNA is filed under the name marine metagenome. RNAcentral describes it as "bacterial LSU rRNA". It matches the Rfam family "Bacterial large subunit ribosomal RNA", at positions 930 to 2027 of the family's 2925-position model. The record is from RNAcentral.